RNAcentral lists this transfer RNA (68 nucleotides) under Endochironomus tendens. RNAcentral describes it as "tRNA-Glu". It matches the Rfam family "tRNA". Rfam says of the family: Transfer RNA (tRNA) molecules are approximately 80 nucleotides in length. Lineage: Eukaryota; Metazoa; Arthropoda; Insecta; Diptera; Chironomidae. The record is from RNAcentral.
UUUUAUAUAGUUUAAGUAAAACAUUAUAUUUUCAUUAUAAAAAAAAAGAGCCAAUUCUUUUAUAAAAU